RNAcentral lists this ribosomal RNA (611 nucleotides) under uncultured bacterium. RNAcentral's name for it is "bacterial SSU rRNA". It matches the Rfam family "Bacterial small subunit ribosomal RNA", at positions 338 to 951 of the family's 1533-position model. The record is from RNAcentral.
CCUACGGGAGGCAGCAGUAAGGAAUAUUGGUCAAUGGAGGCAACUCUGAACCAGCCAUGCCGCGUGCAGGAAGACAGCCCUAUGGGUCGUAAACUGCUUUUAUACGGGAAUAAACUUUGAUUCGUGAAUCAAGCUGAAUGUACCGUAAGAAUAAGGAUCGGCUAACUCCGUGCCAGCAGCCGCGGUAAUACGGAGGAUCCAAGCGUUAUCCGGAUUUAUUGGGUUUAAAGGGAGCGUAGGCGGCCUAUUAAGUCAGGGGUGAAAGACGGUGGCUCAACCAUCGCAGUGCCUUUGAUACUGAUGGGCUUGAAUAUAGUUGAGGUAGGCGGAAUGUGACAAGUAGCGGUGAAAUGCAUAGAUAUGUCACAGAACACCGAUUGCGAAGGCAGCUUACUAAGCUAUGAUUGACGCUGAGGCUCGAAAGCGUGGGGAUCAAACAGGAUUAGAUACCCUGGUAGUCCACGCCCUAAACGAUGAUAACUCGAUGUUGGCGAUAUACAGUCAGCGUCCAAGCGAAAGCGUUAAGUUAUCCACCUGGGGAGUACGCCCGCAAGGGUGAAACUCAAAGAGAGUAGAGNGNGAGAGNGCGACGGACGACACGAGGGAGGAGG